This 217-nucleotide long non-coding RNA is filed under the name Elaeis guineensis (African oil palm). Its description in RNAcentral is "long non-coding RNA (EGUI_LNC061023)". Lineage: Eukaryota; Viridiplantae; Streptophyta; Magnoliopsida; Arecales; Arecaceae. The record is from RNAcentral.
ACAUCCAGACCCUAACCCUUAUUUGUGUGACCCAGUUAGGUUCAAUUCUAUAUGGUAAUGAGACAUGUCAUGAUCUCAUCAUCGAUAUCAUCGAAACUUCUUUCGAUGGACUAGAACUCUUCUGAUUCAGACAAUUAGAAUGAUCGAUCAUCAAAAUCAUUCCAAUUGCUCCCAAAAUCCACCAGUGAUAUCUAGCAGUAUAUGGUGGCAACCCAUC